UAGAAGCUCUGCGUAUCUGCGGCGGAGGGCUGCGGACUGACGGAACUGGGACGGAGUCUGGACGCAGACGUUCUGCCGUCAGUGGAAAUACACACACUGACUUUAAUGGAAACCUAAUGACUCCGUGGACGUUCAGGAGACGUUCCGCAUCCAGUGGAAAUUGCCGGUAAUGUCCGUUUUCGGAGCAUCAGAGAGAAGCGCAGGCAUUUAGGUGACACCUAAAUCCACGUUGCAUACCUGCGACUAGUUUGCAGUUUGAGUUUGCCAGACUGAAUUUGCUGUGGUGCUGCUGGUGGUCCUGGACCAUUUCCUGAUGAUGCAAAACCACAGGGUCCCAAUGAUCGCACAUGUUCGCUGAGAGGCUAAAGAGGAGAAUUAAACAAGAGAUGACCCAGCAGCCCAAACAGAGUGAGAGCUCUGUCAACACGGUGGUAAUAUGUCAGUGGCACCAGAUACAGGAGCUGGCACUUAGAUGAUGCCGAGGUUCAAAAAUAGCAGACCUAUUCACAACUGAAGCCAAAGUGAAAAUCACUGACAUACUGACACUUUGGACCCAAUGCCUUCAUAUACCAAACUUCUGCUGAAAUGCACUCAGAUGUGUGAGACUUCUAGAAAUA
Molecule: long non-coding RNA, 617 nt
Organism: Perca flavescens (yellow perch)
Lineage: Eukaryota; Metazoa; Chordata; Actinopteri; Perciformes; Percidae
Exons: 3
Source: RefSeq, a predicted model, not a curated record